RNAcentral lists this ribosomal RNA (235 nucleotides) under uncultured bacterium. RNAcentral describes it as "partial 16S ribosomal RNA". It matches the Rfam family "Bacterial small subunit ribosomal RNA", at positions 118 to 347 of the family's 1533-position model. The record is from RNAcentral.
UGAGGAACAUGACCUUCGGCGGGGGAUAGCCGGCCCAACGGCCGGGUAAUACCGCGUACGACCACAUGGGGACAUCCCUGAGUGGUGAAAGCAGCAAUGCGCCGAUGGAGUGCCUCGCGGCCUAUCAGCUAGUUGGUGAGGUAACGGCUCACCAAGGCGACGACGGGUAGCUGGUCUGAGAGGAUGGCCAGCCACAUUGGGACUGAGACACCGGCCCAGACCUGUACCGGGGAGG